GUCUAUGUAGAUUAUAUUAUAAAUCAUGAUGCUGUUAACUUCAAGAAGUGGAAUCUACCAUAGUCG
RNAcentral lists this transfer RNA (66 nucleotides) under Paruterina candelabraria. RNAcentral's name for it is "tRNA-Asn". Lineage: Eukaryota; Metazoa; Platyhelminthes; Cestoda; Cyclophyllidea; Paruterinidae. The record is from RNAcentral.